CCCACUCAGUGAUCAACACUGAACAAAGACCUCUCAUCAUGAAGUUGUGGUUAAACUGCAUAUUCCUUGUAAAUCUUUUAAAAGGUAUCCAGGGUGAGGUGCAGCUGGUGGAGUCUGGAGGAGGCUUGGUGAAGCCUGAUGGUUCCCUGAAACUCUCCUGUGUAGCCUCUGGAUUCACCUUCAGUGAUUAUUAUAUGCACUGGGUCCGCCAGCCUCCAGGAAAGGGACUGGAGUGGGUUGCCCUUAUUAGAACUAAAGCUAAUAGUUACACAACAGAAUACAGUGCAUCUGUGAAGGGCCGGUUCACCAUCUCCAGAGAUGAUUCCAAAAACACCCUCUACCUUCAAAUGAACAGUCUGAGAGCUGAGGACACUGCUACUUACUACUGUACCCUGGACCCAGCAAUACCACUCCUGGGA
This is a non-coding RNA of Microtus oregoni (creeping vole), 419 nucleotides long. The record is from the annotation of a RefSeq genome assembly. NCBI's taxonomy places the organism in Eukaryota, Metazoa, Chordata, Mammalia, Rodentia, Cricetidae.